RNAcentral lists this ribosomal RNA (462 nucleotides) under uncultured bacterium. Its description in RNAcentral is "partial 16S ribosomal RNA". It matches the Rfam family "Bacterial small subunit ribosomal RNA", at positions 28 to 507 of the family's 1533-position model. The record is from RNAcentral.
GAUAAACGCUGGCGGCGUGCUUAACACAUGCAAGUCGAACGAAGUUUUUCCUUCGGGAGACACUUAGUGGCGGACGGGUGAGUAACGCGUGGGUAACCUGCCCUGUACAGGGGGACAACAGCUGGAAACGGCUGCUAAUACCGCAUAAGCCCUUAGCACUGCAUGGUGCAUAGGAAAAAGGAGCAAUCCGGUACAGGAUGGACCCGCGUCUGAUUAGCCAGUUGGCAGGGUAACGGCCUACCAAAGCGACGAUCAGUAGCCGAUCUGAGAGGAUGUACGGCCACAUUGGGACUGAGACACGGCCCAGACUCCUACGGGAGGCAGCAGUGGGGAAUAUUGCACAAUGGAGGAAACUCUGAUGCAGCGACGCCGCGUGAGUGAAGAAGUAUUUCGGUAUGUAAAGCUCUAUCAGCAGGGAAGAAAAUGACGGUACCUGACUAAGAAGCACCGGCUAAAUACGUG